Molecule: long non-coding RNA, 1396 nt
Filed under: Struthio camelus australis
Lineage: Eukaryota; Metazoa; Chordata; Aves; Struthioniformes; Struthionidae
Description: lncRNA (ENSSCUG00000013969.1)
Source: RNAcentral
AUGUGGGGGUCCCACAGGCGCUUGGGUGGCCCCAUCGUGGAUUUGGGGGUCCCGGAGGUGCUCGUGCCACCGUUGGGUGCCCCCAGUGAGACGUGGGGCUCCCAGAACCGCUCAUGCCAGCGCUGGGUGACCCCAAAGUGCGUUUGGGGGUCCAGAGGUGCUCACGCUGCGUUUGGGUGCCCUCAAGGUAAACCUGGGAGUCUCAGAGGUCCUCGUGCCGCUGUUGGGCGCCCUCAACAUAAACUCGGGGGGUCUUGGAAACGCUCACGCUGCCAUUUGGUGCCCCCAGCGUGGACUUGGGGGUCCCACAGGUGCUCACGCCGCUGUUGGGUGCCCCCUGAGCAGACUCAGGCGUCCCACAGGUUCUCGCGCUGCCGUUGGGUGCCCCCCGAGUAGGUUUAGGGGUCCCGUAGGAGCUCACGGCGGCGUUGGGAGUCCCCCAAGAGACGCGGGGGUCCCGUAGGUGCUCAGGCGGUCAUUGGGUGCCCCCUAAGUGACACAGGAGCCCCAUAGGUGCUCGUGUCGGCACUGGGGGCCCCCAGCCCCGAUCUGGGGGCCCCUAGGAGCUCCNNNNNNNNNNNNNNNNNNNNNNNNNNNNNNNGAGCUCACGCCGGGCUUGGGUGCCCCCUAAGUGACGCGGAGGUCCCAUAAAUGCUCAUGCUGGCACUGGGGGCCUCCUGAGAAGAUCUGGGGUUCCCAUAGGAGCUCACGCUGGUCUUGGGUGCCCCCUAAGCGACACGGAGGUCCCAUAAGAACUCACGCCGGUCUGGGGUGCCCCCAAGGAGGUUCGGGGGUCCCACAGGAGCUCCCGCUGGCGUUGGGAGCCCCCCAAGUGACACGGGGGUCCCAUACGUGCUCGUGUCGGCAUUGGGUGCCCCCGAAAAGAUGUGGAGGUCCCACAGGAGCUCACGGUGGCAUCGGGCCACCCCUAGGUCCCACAGGAGCUCACGCCGGUUCGGGGCACCCCCCCAAGUGACAUGGGGGUCCCACAAGAGCUCACGCCGGUCCUGGGCGCCCCCCAAGCGACGUGGGAGUCCCACAAGAGUUCACGCCAGUCCUGGGUGCCCCUUGAGAAGAUCUGGGGGUCCCAUAGGAGCUCAUGAUGGUCCUGGGUGUCCCCCACACAACACGGUGGACCCACAGGAGGUCACAUCGGUUUUAGGUGCCCCCCAAACGACAUAGGGGUCCCAUAGGAGCUCAGUCCAGCUUUAGGUGCCCCCCAAACAACAUGAGGGUCCCACAGGAGCUCAUGCCGGCUUUGGGUGCCCCCCAAGUGAUAUGUGGGUCCCAUAGGAGCUCCGUCCAGCUUUAGGUGCUCCUCAAGCGACACGGGGGUCCCGUAAGAGCUCCCGUUGGCAUUGGGCACCCCCUAAGCGACACGGGGGUCCCAUACGUG